AUCGAUCCCACGGACCCUCGACCCACACAGCCCCGGGCCCCACCCAUGCUGCACACACACCCACGCCCAACCCAUGCACACACACCCAUGUUGGAUGCCAUCUCUCUCAUCCUCCUCGAUCCCCUUUCUCCACCCCACGCCGCCACCAGAUUCCGGCGAUCCCCACCGUUCCCCACUGCCCAGCUCUCCUCCCCGAGGUCACCUCUCGCCGCUCACCAUCUCCACCGACCGAUUCCUCUCCUCGCCCAGGAGAGCCACGCCUAGGCACUAGUGGUGGUGCACCGCGAGGAGGCCCCAGCGGCAUCGAGUUGCUGCUGCUGCGAGCAUAGCGACGUGCUGGGGAGGAGCUACGUCGGGAUGCUGCUCCUGCGCCGAGCUACUGCUGCUGUGGGCACGACAACGAGCCGGGGAGCAGCUGCUGCUGCGGGCACGGCGUCUCUCCUUUCCCCAAAUCCCCAUCUGGCGCAUCCCUCUCCAGCCUCAAGCCGCUGCCCUGAGCUCCCCUACAGGCCGGCGACACCACUCUGAUUAGGAGUCACGCAUGUGGCCGGCAUAGCAUUCUGGUCACCAACUGCCCUCUAGGUGUGAGAUGUUUUGCUCGUGGACAAUCUCAUGUGUUGGAUCUGCAUUGGAUGGCAGAUAAGCGGAGUGGGAGCUUGCAGCAGCAUCUUUGACCCCUUCCCAAUGAGCUGUAGGUCGUAGACGAGGUCCCGGCCGAGGUAUCCCUCCUCUCAUCCCUUCCCCUUUCUACCACCUAAGGAGUGAUUAUAGUGUAUGCUGCACAGAAGUUUCCAAAGUUCAUGCUUAGCUGAUAUCUUUUGUUAACUGAAUAGUUUGCUGUGAUGAAUCAUUAGGAUAGUAUAGCAAGGCGGCUCUUAAAAAAGGUCCCUUCUUUGAUUAUAAAUCCUAAACAGAUCAUAAAUUAUGAGCAAAGAACCUUCCAUGAUCCCCAUCACAGAGUUUUGUUUUUGUUCCCUUGCAUUGAUAUGCAAAAUAUAUGCAUCGCUAACAAUUUUGCGUUAAGUUAAUUGUUUGUUGUGAUGAAUCAUAAGGACGAUAUCCGAGUACGCUGGCUCUUGAAAAAGGCCUCCUUCCUUGAUUAUAGUAAUUCCUAAACUGGUCAUAUAGUCUGGGCAACCUAUACAAAUCUGAAUUUAUGUUUUGGAAAACCAUGUUUCCUGUUUAAAUUCUACUAGUCAUUGCUCUAUGCUUUAAUAUUGGGUAUUAGGACAUGAUCAUGCUCCUAUGGUUGUUAUAUUUGAUAAGACUUGAACAUGCUUAUUUUAGUUUAGAUAUCCAUCUAUGCUACCGUUCUGUCCAUUUGGAUGUUAUGCACUUACAAUUAUACAUUAUGUAAAUCCAUAUUUCAGUUGCAAUGUAUAGCUUGAUUCACACUUGUAGCAGCCAUGCAAGAUAAAAGAAAAUAAAUCUAGAUUCUUACCCUUUCCCUUGAUAUAUUCUCCUUGUUGAACAAACAAACAGUUUUCGAUGAACUGACAUUUCACCGUUCUGCUGGUUGGAUGCUUGUUGCCUAUAUUUAGAAUAAGUGUAAGUGCUUGUAUCUUGCUACUAUGAAAGUGGCGAUGUUUUUAAUGAAGUGAUGCAGGCUGCAGUGGAGUGCAACAUGUAUUCAUUGCAAUAUUUUCAUAUUUGUGGAGAUUGUUUAGUAUUUUGUGGUUGAUGGCUGUAGCUGGCUUUUCCUCCUAAAAUUUACAUGUGGUGGGAACAGAGUACAUGUGCCAUAAAAUUCACUUUUUCUCCUAACAACUUAUACUUAGCACUUUGAUCUUUUGUGGUUGAUGGCUGUAGCUGGCUUUUCCUCCUAAAAUUUACAUCGAAGUAAAAGAGAUGGCCAUUUAAUUAGGCUAGGCUCACAAGUAGCUGGAUUUUUUGUGUGUGAAGAUGCAUCAGUGACUUUUUUAGCAGUUUAUAAUGGUACUAGCCCCCUGUGCUUGUGGGUGCAGUGCCCUAAUUGCAGAAAAAUACGAGGUGCAAGUGUGGUGCUGGUUCUCUCCUUUGGCUCUUUGGUAUUGGUUCUCUCCUUUGGCUCCUUGUAAUAUGUGUUGGAUAUGUGUUCAUGGAUAUGUGUUGGAUAUAUAUGUGUUCAUGACUAUUGGUAACAUGUGUUGGAUAUGUGUUCAUGGCUAUUGGUAACAUGUGUUGGAUA
Triticum aestivum (bread wheat) is the source of this 2167-nucleotide long non-coding RNA. RefSeq lists it as uncharacterized. Lineage: Eukaryota; Viridiplantae; Streptophyta; Magnoliopsida; Poales; Poaceae. The record is from RefSeq and is a predicted model, not a curated record. The transcript is spliced from 2 exons.